AAUGACUUCAGUUCUAGCAGCUAGGCCUAUUGCUCGGCCCUUAUCCACAGAGGCACAGACGUUGCUGGAAGAAAGAAUUUCCUGUGAGCCAUGGCGUGUGUGGCUGCGACGCUGUCGUUUAGCUUCACCAGGUGUCUUAGCUUGACCUCUUCUCCGACUCGUGUUUCUCAUGGUUCAGUUCAAUUCGCUCCAAUGAACAAGAGGAAGUCGCUGAAAUUUUCUUCUUCUAGUAGCAUUUCUGGGGUUGCCUCACUUCUUCCACAGCAGCUCUGCAAGCUCUUGCCUCAACCUCGGAGGCCUCGGACUCUCACAGUCACAUCUGCUAAAGGCUACAAAAUGAAAACUCACAAGGCAUCAGCAAAGCGAUUCAGGGUGACAGGUCGAGGGAAAAUAGUGCGUAGGAGAGCUGGAAAGCAGCAUCUGCUGGCCAAGAAGAACACAAAGAGAAAAUUACGGCUCUCAAAAAUGGAUUUGGAAUUAGUAUUGACAUUGUUAAGUUCGCCUGCGUGUUACUACCACAGUUUAAAUUGUUGAUGUUGACUACUGACUGGGCAAGCUCAUUUGCUGACCUAGAUAUGCGACUUCUAUAAAACAAAAACAAAAAAGAAAAGAAAAAGAAGCCAAAAUGCCUUAAUGCUGUCGUCAUCUUCUUCGUUGGGGACGGCACCAUCAUCUUCAGUGUCUGUGUUAGCGCCGAUUUCGUCAAGCUCCUCUAGCUCCCCAAGAAGAUGAUGUCGUCCCUUGCUCACUGAAGAGUAUGAUGAACAGCUUCCCCUGGUCCUUUGCUGCAUCUUGCAUUUAAGCUCUGAUGAAGAUAAUUCCACAGUGUCUCUCUUCUCUCUCUAAACCAGUCGACGAUGUCCACUUCAGGAGGAAGAUGAUGAACAACAGGCUCUAUCAUGGGCAUAUUCAAGAUAUCGUCUCUUGUUCAGGGUGAUGAACAGUAGCUGCUUCAAGUCAUCCUCUCCUCCUCACCAAGACAAAUGAACAGUGACUGAAGAGAAGCAUCCAGUUGGUCGGAAUCCACUUAUCGAUUUCUCAAAUUGUGUUAAAGCUGGCAAUGACUCCACUGUUCCUCUGCUUCAACCUUCAUCGCCUAGAGCUGUGACGGCGUGUAGAGAGGAGGACGGCCACCGUCUUCUUCAGGCUAGCUACCACAGUGUUUUGGCUUUGAUUCUUUUAAUAAAAAAUCACAUAUCCAGGUCAUCCUUGCCCUGCCAACAGUUGACAUCAUUAAUAACGUUGUUAGUGACCCUUGGGCAAACUUAACACCGGCAAUUCCAGCUCCUGGUCCUUUUGAAACUAUAAGGACUAAUGAUUAUUAACAGAAUAAAUUUGAAGGACCAA
Molecule: RNA transcript, 1347 nt
Organism: Neltuma alba
Lineage: Eukaryota; Viridiplantae; Streptophyta; Magnoliopsida; Fabales; Fabaceae
Gene name: 50S ribosomal protein L35, chloroplastic
Exons: 4
Source: RefSeq, a predicted model, not a curated record